RNAcentral lists this ribosomal RNA (500 nucleotides) under uncultured bacterium. Its description in RNAcentral is "partial 16S ribosomal RNA". It matches the Rfam family "Bacterial small subunit ribosomal RNA", at positions 28 to 507 of the family's 1533-position model. The record is from RNAcentral.
GACGAACGCUGGCGGCGUGCUUAACACAUGCAAGUCGAACGGGUCUGCCCUGUUUUUUGCGGGGUGGGUCAGUGGCGAACGGGUGAGUAACACGUGAGUAACCUGCCCCUCACUUCUGGAUAACCGCUUGAAAGGGUGGCUAAUACGGGGUGUUCUGGCUGUGCCGCAUGGUGUGGCUGGGAAAGAUUCACUUUUGUGGUGUUUUGGUGGGGGAUGGGCUCGCGGCCUAUCAGCUUGUUGGUGGGGUGAUGGCCUGCCAAGGCUUUGACGGGUAGCCGGCCUGGGAGGGUGGGCGGUCACACUGGGACUGAGAGACGGCCCAGACUCCUGCGGGAGGCAGCAGUGGGGGGUAUUGCACAAUGGGCGGAAGCCUGAUGCAGCGACGUCGCGUGAGGGAUGGAGGCCGUCGGGUUGUGAACCUCUUUCGCCGGUGAAGAAGGUCCUGCUCUUUGUGGUGGGGUUGACGGUAGCCGGGUUAUGAAGCGCCGGCUAACUACGUG